CAGUCGCCGCGGGAAUACGUAGGUGGCAAGCGUUGUCCGGAAUUAUUGGGCGUAAAGGGCUCGCAGGCGGUUUCUUAAGUCUGAUGUGGAAGCCCCCGGCUCAACCGGGGAGGGUCAUUGGAAACUGGGAAACUUGAGUGCAGAAGAGGAGAGUGGAAUUCCACGUGUAGCGGUGAAAUGCGUAGAGAUGUGGAGGAACACCAGUGGCGAAGGCGACUCUCUGGUCUGUAACUGACGCUGAGGAGCGAAAGCGUGGGGAGCGAACAGGAUUAGAUACCCCCGUAGUCCCUGUCUCUUAUAC
RNAcentral lists this ribosomal RNA (301 nucleotides) under uncultured bacterium. RNAcentral describes it as "partial 16S ribosomal RNA". It matches the Rfam family "Bacterial small subunit ribosomal RNA", at positions 509 to 807 of the family's 1533-position model. The record is from RNAcentral.